This 4637-nucleotide long non-coding RNA is filed under the name Eutrema salsugineum. RNAcentral describes it as "long non-coding RNA (ESAL_LNC001070)". Lineage: Eukaryota; Viridiplantae; Streptophyta; Magnoliopsida; Brassicales; Brassicaceae. The record is from RNAcentral.
AGAAGGCCACAUGCAAGAAGAGUUGACUGUUAUUUUCAUAAGUAACCGGCUGCCAGAAAACGUUAGGGGAGCAACUGUGAUUCAUGAAACGGGCAACAUUCCCAACAUUCUUAGCACUGAUUAUAAGAGGCAGCGGGAUUUCAGGUUCUUCAGACAUCUCCUCAGAAGCAAUUUCGUCUGCUAAGCCAGGCUCAUAGUUCCAUUUGAAAGGGGUAUAGACACGGGUUGUAUCAAAUGUAUGAUCAUCAUUAGCCAUAGUUUGUUGCACCUUCGACUUGUCUUUGGCCUCACCUGCAUAUAUGCAUAUAAACGACCCAGCACGAAUAGGAUCCCAUGAGCGCAAGCCCCAUCCUCUAUUCUCUGUCUUGAAAACUUCCAGCUUCACUUUUACUCCCAUUUGAGUCACCUUGUUUUUGCAAGCCGAGCACGGGCAGGAUGGGCUGCAUUCAUAUAUCAUAGGCUUGCGGCUAACUAGAACUCCAUUGCCCGAGUAUGGGAAAUCACCUCCAUUUUUCCUAAUGCAGUGACAGUCCAAGUUCCCUGGUUUGCAUGAGUUACUGCAACCGCAUCCAAAAGAAGGCUGUGGCAGCUUAAACGAAUCGGAGUAUUUUACCGUAGUGGAGUAUGUGAAAUAAGCAGGCCCACUCUCGGCAUCAACAUCAUUCACAAGUGAAACGGCUGUGCUUUCAACUCCAGAAGUGAGAUCGGUAAGAAUAAGUCCUUCCCUGGAAGGCAAACCAGUCUUCCACUUCUGGAUCGCAGUCCAUGUAGCAAAUGCAGGAGGUUGACCAGGAGCUCGCACUAGUUUAUACUUGAAGGUGUUGUGUCCAGAUUUUCCUUUCUCUACCCAUGACUCUUUGAUCUCGUAGAGUCCAUCAUAAAUAUAGAUCUUAGCACUCUGAGAAGCCUCUUUCAAGCCCCUUAUUACCCUAACCGCACUAUUCCUACGCAAGCUCUUCUCCAACGCAAGAUUACCCCUCUCGAGCUUUUGGUCAGAUGUUUGCUUAUCUUUAUCAGCAUUACCACCACCCUGACCAGUAUAAACCAAGACAUCGGGAUUACCUUCGUCAUUAUCAUAAUAUCCAGAUGACACAAUGCUAGUGGCGAUAGGCUCUUCUUCUGCUUCUCCCUUGACAAUCAGAUAGUCAAUGCCAGCCAUCGAUGGAGAAUGUAACCCCACCAAACACAUCUCAAACCUGAAGAAGAAGAUGUCCCCAAUCUCAACACCAGGAAUGAUACCAGGUCUUUUCUUGGUGUUUGUACGGACACCUCUGCUCAUACAAGUAGAUCCUGAUUUCAAAUCAGCGCGUUUGAUGAUUCCACUAACUGCUUCCUUUGCAUCCUCCAGUUGUGAAAACCUUCUUCUUAGCGCAUCAAAACGCAUAAGAAUACUCGUCACCAGCUUCCUAUUGCCAUUCUCUCUUUCAGCCACUGUAAUCCCACUCUCGAAAUUCACAUUCUCAGGCCGAACAAUUGGACGCUUCUUAGUGAUCUUUCUUUUCACAGUUGAACCCUCAGGCUCCAUGUCGCCAUUAGACGCAUCAGGAGAUCUGAAUGACCUCAGAGGAGUAACCAACGAAGGUUCAGAUACGAUUUGCGUUUGAUGUUGCGGUGGAUUCUGUGGCUGGUGUUGCGGUGGGUUCUGAGGCUGAUGUUGCGGUGUAUACUGAGGCUGAUAUUGCGGUGUAUAUUGAGGCUGAUAUUGCGGUGGAUUCUGGGCUUGAUUGAGAUCAGGUGUGUGUUGAUUCGCUUGAGAAGACGAGCUAAAUGGAUAGAAUGGUGAGAAUCCAGGAGGAAAAGGUCCAAAAGGAGGUGCGCACACAAAAGGUGGAGCUUGAUUUCCGCUGGGGAAAACAGGUCUUAGAGAACGCAAUGGCUUGAUAUCAAACACUCUCGUCUUAUCGGUGUAGCUUCCAGAAUUCCCUUCCAUUGGUUGAAAUUUACCAGAAUCAGAUUUUCACUUGAAAUGGAAAAUGAAAUCCCCUAAAAGCUAUCGAAGAUCUGGGAAAGCAACUUCUUCUUCACCUUUUGCCACAAAACAGAGCUUCUUAGUAUAAGCCUAUAUCAAAAGAUCAGAGAUUCACAAAGCCGAAUUAAACGCAUGCACAGAGAAACCAUCAUCGCAUAUUCAGAGAUUCAAUAACAGCAACGGGUGUUUCACAAAACAAAACCCAACAAGCUCGAAACUUGAAAAUGAAACCUGAAAUUGGCACUUGGGAAUCGCGCACUCGUCAAGCUCGGUCGUCAGAUUAGGGUUUCCGAAAAGAGAGAGACAGAGAAAGAAGAAUGAGAGGGAAACAAAUAGAGAAAUAAUUUCCAGCUUGGGAAAAUUUUGUUUUUUAACAUUUUUAGCGUUUAUUAUUAACGUCUGAGAUCUCUUACCAUCUGUGACUUUCACUGACAUCUGUAACUGUUAGAGAAGAAGCUUAGAUUAGCCGUUGGAUCAAAAUCAUUUGUUUUUUAACCGUACAAAGAUCUAAUAUGACUGGUUACCUGCGUAAGAGGUUGUCGUUUCCGUUUCAUUCUCGUUCUAUGAAGUGCAUUCGUCACUUCGUGAUAUAAUGACUUUUAGGAACUUUUGUCGGUUACCGGUUUUCACACGUGUGUAAGAGUUUGUCGUUUCCCUUUGCUCAAUCUUUUUCCUCUCUCAAAAUUUGGUCCAAUCUGGAAAAACCGAUCCGAUUUAAUUCAACCAAAUCAGAAUAGUCGGUCCGAUACCAAAUCAUAUUUGAUAUCGUCUAAAUUGGUUUUUUUUAUAUAUUCAAAAAAUAAAUAAAAAAUCAACCAAAACAAACCGGAAAAAAAAAAUCCAAAAUUAAAAUUGUAAAAGACUUAUAUGGGUAGCGCAUGAAUUGGUGUCUGACUGUCUGGUGAGCAAUGCACAACAAGCUGUUCAAGAAGUGAGUUGAUUUUGACUAUGUAUUUAAAAAUUUCAUUGCGAUUUGUUUGUCUAUAAUAAAAGAGUGAUUUACACUAAAAGGCACUUUUACAACUUCUUCUUACAAAAAAAAACACUUUCAGCUAUUAGGAUACUUUUUCUGUACUUUAAACACUGUUUACACCAAAAUAAUCCGAAAUUGCCCAUGUGUUAACGAGAACGGUGGAUGCAACUCGUGGAUACCGAAUUAAACCCCAAAUUUUAAAAACAUUAAUUAUUUUCCCCUUCAGUUUUGUGCUGUAUUUUUCUGUAGUGUAAAAUAUAUAAAACAAUUUUUUUUGUUAGAUUGAAUUCUAAUUUUAUUUUGUCAUUGUUUUAAGACCCAUUAUGUUAUACUUUCUUUAUCAAACAAAAUUUUUUUCAAAUAACCUUUAUAAAAAAAAAUUAAAACAACAGAAAUCUACUUAGAUAUCCAUUCACAAAAUACAAUGUGGAUGAUGCAUGAUGGACAUAUAACAUGGAUACGAUUGCGUGGAUAUAUUUUCAAUCGUAUAUUUGACGUGUAUAUACAUUUUAUAUUGUCCACAUUAUGGACAUGAUCGUGUGGAUAUGUUUUUUAUUGAUAGAUUCGAUAUGGAUAUACAUAUUAUAUUAUCAAUAACCUAUCCACAUGAUCAUGUUCAAAUUAUAGACAAUAUAAAAUGUAUAUCCACGUCGAAUAAAUGAAUGAAAACCUAUCUACAUAAUUGUGUCCAAGUUAUAUGUCCAUCACGCAUUAUCCACAUCGUAUUUGUGAAUGGAUAUCUAAGUAGAUUUCUGAUUUUUUUAAAAAUUUUAUAAAGGUUAUUUGAAAAGUUUCUUGUUUGAUAAAUAAAGUAUAGCAUAAUGGAUUUUAAAACAAUGACAAAAUAAAAUUAGAGUUUAUUUUAACAAAAAAAAAUAUUUUAAAUAUUUCAUAAUACAGAAAAAUACAAAACAAAACAAAAGGGGGAAAAUAAUUACUAUUUUUAAAAUCUGGAUUUAAUUCGGUAUCCACAAGUUCAUAUCCACCAUUAUCGUGAACACAAGGACAAUUUCGGAAUGAAAAAUAGAAAAAUCACCUAAUAGCUAGAAGUGCCAGUGUAAUAUGAGUUUGGGCCUUUUACUGUAAUUAUUUCAUAAUAAAACCGAUAAGCUGUUAAACUGACUUGUAACGUUAAUCAUAGUCAUCUAAUCUUUUUAACCAAACAGAGGCUAAGUAUUUCUAGAGAUUCGCCCUAAAAAAAAUCUGAAAGCAAAUAAGAUUACAUAACGAGUUUCUAGAGAUACGUUUUUCAAAUUAUCAUCAACCAAAUGAACCACGGCAAUACUCUGAUCCGCAGAAGCACCUCUUUCUGCCAUAUAAAGGAUUGCCAUUUUCAGUUCCGCUUGGUCGAGAAACUCCAUAGUCGUAUGUUAACUCAGUCAUUGGAGGGAUGUGAGAAAUGGCAAAGAAGGCCACAUGCAAGAAGAGUUGACUGUUAUUUUCAUAAGAAACCGGCUGCCAGAAAACGUUAGGGGAGCAACUGUGAUUCAUGAAACGGGCAACGUUUCCAACAUUCUUAGCACUGAUUAUCAGAGGAAGCGGGAUUUCAGGUUCUUCAGACAUCUCCUCAGAAGCAACUUCGUCUGCUAAGCCAGGCUCAUAGUUCCAUUUAAAAGGGGUGUAGAUACGGGUUGUAUCAAAAGUAUAAUCAUCAUUAGCCAUAGUGUGCUGCACCUUCGACUUGUCUUUGGCCUC